RNAcentral lists this ribosomal RNA (274 nucleotides) under uncultured bacterium. RNAcentral describes it as "partial 16S ribosomal RNA". It matches the Rfam family "Bacterial small subunit ribosomal RNA", at positions 523 to 796 of the family's 1533-position model. The record is from RNAcentral.
AUGCGGAGGGUGCAAGCGUUAUUCGGAAUCACUGGGCGUAAAGGACGCGUAGGCGGGUUGGCAAGUCAGAUGUGAAAUCCUACAGCUUAACUGUAGAACUGCAUUUGAAACUGCUAACCUAGAGUAUGGGAGGGGGAGAUGGAAUUAGUGGUGUAGGGGUAAAAUCCGUAGAUAUCACUAGGAAUACCGAAAGCGAAGGCGAUCUCCUGGAACAUAACUGACGCUAAGGCGUGAAAGCGUGGGGAGCAAACAGGAUUAGAAACCCUAGUAGUCC